RNAcentral lists this unclassified non-coding RNA (205 nucleotides) under Hevea brasiliensis (rubber tree). The record is from RNAcentral. Lineage: Eukaryota; Viridiplantae; Streptophyta; Magnoliopsida; Malpighiales; Euphorbiaceae.
ACGCCAUCGGGGUUUAAUCUCCAGCUCCGGGCACAAAUGAAGACAGUGACGACUAGCUUCGGCUUUGGCUUUGGCUUUGGCUUUGUGUUGUGAAGUGAAUANAGAAGGUGUCGUUUUGUACGCGUGAUUUGCGUGACGCGGAGUUGCUAGGGCUGCGACUGCGAGUUUUAUGCAGCGAUUAGGAGUCUGUCUCUUGUUGCCCAAU